AUGGAAGCAGAUGGAUAUCCAAUUGCUCCGGUUGAGGCACAUGCAUGAGGCUGCUUUUACUGUAAAUUCAGUCUUUUGCCUGCAUUUAUUUUACUGCUGUUGCUGCUGAGAACAAAUGUGUGACUAAGAACACUGAGCAGCAACAAGAGGAGGAGGAUUCCUGCUGCACCUCCGGCUCCAGCUCCAAUUCCGGCUCCAAUUCCAGCUCCAGGACUUCCACUGUCAGUUUCUGGCUGCUUGUCACGUUCUGGUUUAAGAGGAACAGGAAAAGGAAGACCCCCUUGGUGGUCUGUGGAAUGAAACAGGCAGGCAAGAUUCUGCUGCUGCACAGGGCUUCAUUUGAGGACGUACAACCCUGAAUCGCUCACAGUAGCAUUUGUGAGGGUGAGAGAAGCAAAUCCUGCUCUCAGGUUCUGAGUGAUCCUGUA
Podarcis muralis (Common wall lizard) is the source of this 428-nucleotide long non-coding RNA. RefSeq lists it as uncharacterized. NCBI's taxonomy places the organism in Eukaryota, Metazoa, Chordata, Lepidosauria, Squamata, Lacertidae. The record is from RefSeq and is a predicted model, not a curated record.